AUACGUAGGUCCCGAACGUUGCGCGAAAUUACUGGGCGUAGAGGGUCCGUAGGCGGUCUGGUAAGUGGAAGGUGAAAGCCUGGGGCUCAACUCCAGAAUUGCCUUCCAAACUGCCGGACUUGAGGCAGGGAGAGGUCGGCGGAAUUCCCGGUGUAGUGGUGAAAUGCGUAGAUAUCGGGAGGAACACCAGUGGCGAAGGCGGCCGACUGGAACUGUCCUGACGCUGAGGGACGAAAGCCAGGGGAGCGAACCGGAUUAGAAACCCUAGUAGUCC
RNAcentral lists this ribosomal RNA (274 nucleotides) under uncultured bacterium. RNAcentral's name for it is "partial 16S ribosomal RNA". It matches the Rfam family "Bacterial small subunit ribosomal RNA", at positions 523 to 796 of the family's 1533-position model. The record is from RNAcentral.